GAUGAACGCUAGCGGCAGGCCUAACACAUGCAAGUCGAGGGAGAAGCCCUUUCGGGGGCAGAAACCGGCGCACGGGUGCGUAACGCGUAUGCAACCUACCUUUCACAGGGGGAUAGCCCGAAGAAAUUUGGAUUAAUACCCCAUAAUAUUGUUGGAUGGCAUCAUCUGGCAAUUAAAGCUACGACGGUGAAAGAUGGGCAUGCGUCCUAUUAGCUAGUUGGAGUGGUAACGGCACCCCAAGGCUACGAUAGGUAGGGGUCCUGAGAGGGAGAUCCCCCACACUGGUACUGAGACAGGGACCAGACUCCUACGGGAGGCAGCAGUGAGGAAUAUUGGUCAAUGGUCGGAAGACUGAACCAGUCAUGCCGCGUGCAGGAAGAAUGCCUUAUGGGUUGUAAACUGCUUUUAUAUGGAAGAAUAAGGUGUACGUGUACAUGAUGACGGUACCAUAGAUAG
Molecule: ribosomal RNA, 456 nt
Filed under: Capnocytophaga gingivalis
Lineage: Bacteria; Pseudomonadati; Bacteroidota; Flavobacteriia; Flavobacteriales; Flavobacteriaceae
Description: bacterial SSU rRNA
Rfam family: Bacterial small subunit ribosomal RNA
Source: RNAcentral